UCAAGCUACUAAGGGCAUGCGGUGAAUGCCUAGGCACUUAAAGGCGAUGAAGGACGUGAAAAGCUGCGAUAAGCAACGGUGAGGAGCACAUAUCCAUUGACCCGUUGAUUUCCGAAUGGGGGAACCCUAUAUACGACUGCUUGAAUACAUAGAGCAGAACGAGCUAACUCAGGGAAGUGAACCAUCUCAGUACCUGAAGGAAGAGAAAACAACAGUGAUUCCGUGAGUAGCGGCGAGCGAAAACGGACCAGCCUAAACCGAUUGGGCUUGCUCAAUCGGGGUCGUGGGACCAGACAUAAUGGGACGAGAAGAUUAGAGGAAUUGUGUGGAAAAGCACACCAUAGAGCGUGAUAGUCGCGUACUCGAAAAUUUUCAGAUCUUAGUUUGGCACCCGAGUAAUGCGGGACACGAGGAAUCUUGCAUGAAUUUGCCGGGACCAUCCGGUAAGGCUAAAUACUCUUAAGUGACCGAUAGUGAACGAGUACCGUGAGGGAAAGGUGAAAAGAACCCCGGUGAGGGGAGUGAAAUAGUACCUGAAACCGCAUGCUUACAAGCAGUCGGAGGGCUUCGGCCUGACGGCGUGCCUUUUGCAUAAUGAGCCGGCUAGUAGAUGUCACAGGCAAGGUUAUAAGAUAAUUGAGCCGAAGCGAAAGCGAGUCUUAAUAGGGCGUAUAGUCUGUGGUAUCUGGACGUGAAACGGGAUGAUCUAGGCAUGGGCAGGAUGAAGCGUGGGUAACACCACGUGGAGGUCCGAACCAGUUAAGGUUGAAAACUUUUUGGAUGACCUGUGCCUGGGGGUGAAAGGCUAAUCAAAUUCCGUGAUAGCUCGUUCUCGCCGAAAUAUCUUUAGGGAUAGCCUCGGAUUUAUCAUUGUGGUGGUAAAGCACUGACUGGACUAGGGGCCUCACAAGGUUACCGAAUUCAAUCAAACUCUGAAUGCCAUAAAUGACUGUCCGGGAGUCAGACUGCGGGUGCUAAGAUUCGUAGUCGAGAGGGAAAGAACGUAGAUCACCAGCUAAGGUCCCGAAGUAAUAGUUAAGUGGAAAAGGAAGUGGGGAAGCACUGACAGCCAGGAGGUUUGCUUAGAAGCAGCAAUCCUUUAAAGAAAGCGUAAUAGCUCACUGGUCAAGUAGCCCUGCACCGACAAUAUAACGGGGCUUAAACUAUUCACCGAAGCUUUGGAUGAAUUUAUUCAUGGUAGGCGAGCAUUCUGUAGCUGUGAAGCGGUUUCGUAAGAUCCGUUGGAGCAAUCAGAAAAGACUUUGUCGGCAUUAGUAGCGAUAACGUAUGUGAGAACCAUACGCACCGAAAACCUAAGGUUUCCUGCGUCAAGUUAAUCUGCGCAGGGUUAGUCUGUACCUAAGGCGAGGCCGAGAGGCGUAGUCGAUGGAAAUCCGGUUAAUAUUCCGGAACCAUGGGUAUGUGAUGUGGGUUGACGCAACAGGGUAGGCAAGACAGCUGAUGGAUGCUGUUGAAGUAAAUAGGCCGUCGUUUAGGCAAAUCCGGACGACACCAGGCUAAAUAUACGGACGAAAGUACAGAGCUUCGGCUCCGGAACAAGUUGCUGACCCCAGUUGCCAAGAAAAUUCCCGUUCAUCUAUACAUACCCCACUGGCAGUACCGCAAACCGACACAGGUAGGUGGGGUGAGAAUCCUAAGGUGCUUGUGAGAACCCUCGUUCAGGAACUCGGCAAAAUGUACCCGUAACUUCGGGAGAAGGGUAGCCGCGUUCACCAAGAACGCGGUCGCAGAGAAAUGUUCCAGGCGACUGUUUAACAAAAACACAGGUCUCCGCAAAGUUGUAAAGACGACGUAUGGGGGCUGACGCCUGCCCAAUGCUGGAAGGUUAAGAGGAGUGGUUAGUCGAAAGGCGAAGCUGCGAAUCGAAGCCCCAGUGAAUGGCGGCCGUAACUAUAACGGUCCUAAGGUAGCGAAAUUCCUUGUCGGGUAAGUU
This 1954-nucleotide ribosomal RNA is filed under the name activated sludge metagenome. Its description in RNAcentral is "bacterial LSU rRNA". It matches the Rfam family "Bacterial large subunit ribosomal RNA", at positions 3 to 1982 of the family's 2925-position model. The record is from RNAcentral.